Molecule: transfer RNA, 76 nt
Filed under: Mesorhizobium sp.
Lineage: Bacteria; Pseudomonadati; Pseudomonadota; Alphaproteobacteria; Hyphomicrobiales; Phyllobacteriaceae
Description: tRNA-Met
Rfam family: tRNA
About the family: Transfer RNA (tRNA) molecules are approximately 80 nucleotides in length. Their secondary structure includes four short double-helical elements and three loops (D, anti-codon, and T loops). Further hydrogen bonds mediate the characteristic L-shaped molecular structure. tRNAs have two regions of fundamental functional importance: the anti-codon, which is responsible for specific mRNA codon recognition, and the 3' end, to which the tRNAs corresponding amino acid is attached (by aminoacyl-tRNA synthetases). tRNAs cope with the degeneracy of the genetic code in two manners: having more than one tRNA (with a specific anti-codon) for a particular amino acid; and 'wobble' base-pairing, i.e. permitting non-standard base-pairing at the 3rd anti-codon position.
Source: RNAcentral
AGCGGGAUAACUCAGCCUGGCAGGGCGCGCGGCUCAUAACCGCGAAGUCAGCCGUUCGAGCCGCUUCCCGCAACCA